RNAcentral lists this unclassified non-coding RNA (495 nucleotides) under uncultured Archaeospora. RNAcentral's name for it is "SSU rRNA". It matches the Rfam family "Eukaryotic small subunit ribosomal RNA", at positions 591 to 1092 of the family's 1831-position model. Lineage: Eukaryota; Fungi; Glomeromycota; Glomeromycetes; Archaeosporales; Archaeosporaceae. The record is from RNAcentral.
CCAAUAGCGUAUAUUAAAGUUGUUGCAGUUAAAAAGCUCGUAGUUGAAUUUUAGGCCUGGCCGGAUGGUCCGUCUUUGGCGAGUACUGUUCUGUCGUCGGGUCUAUCCUUCUGGUGAGCCGGGAUGCCCUUUAUUGGGUGUGUCGGGGAACCAGGACCAUUACCUUGAAAAAAUUAGAGUGUUUAAAGCGGGCAUUUGCUUGAAUAGAUUAGCAUGGAAUAAUAGAAUAGGACGUUGGUUCUAUUUUGUUGGUUUUAGGACCACCGUAAUGAUUAAUAGGGAUAGUUGGGGGCAUUAGUAUUCAAUGGUCAGAGGUGAAAUUCUUGGAUUUAUUGAAGACUAACUAUUGCGAAAGCAUUUGCCAAGGAUGUUUUCAUUAAUCAAGAACGAAAGUUAGGGGAUCGAAGACGAUCAGAUACCGUCGUAGUCUUAACCAUAAACUAUGCCGACUAGGAAUCGGGCGACGUUAUUUCAUGACUCGCUCGGCGCCUUAUG